Long non-coding RNA from Bufo bufo (common toad), 227 nucleotides. RefSeq lists it as uncharacterized. The record is from RefSeq and is a predicted model, not a curated record. NCBI's taxonomy places the organism in Eukaryota, Metazoa, Chordata, Amphibia, Anura, Bufonidae. The transcript has 3 exons.
UUCUGUCUGCAAAAGUUCUCUAGUGACUGAAAAAAGAACAUGUGACCGUCACCUGACCCUCCCAGCGACCAUCUUUAAAGCUUUACUAUAUGAGAUCACACUGCAGAAAGCUUGUCUAGUCAAAAAAAAAAUGUCACAAAACAGCAGUGACCACAGUACCCCUCCAUUGGAGAUUGUGGAGCAAUCAUCAUCUAGCGGGUCAGAGGAUGAAACGGAGAGGACACACU